UGUUUCGUGUUUUGAUACUGUACCUUACUGCCAACUGUACGAAAUGGUUACGUCGUUGUUUUUCUUCCAACGAAUCAGAAUAGGUAAUAAAUGGCUGUGGGCUGAUAAAAGUAACAGUCAUAUAAAACUAGGGUCACUGGCCAAAUAACAAUGAAAGACGUUCAUUGUUAAUCACUACGCAAAAUAGAAUGCAUUCGUUUGUAAUCGGGAGUACUUCGCCUACGCUGGAAGCGACCGCAUGGUUCUGCAGAGUGCGUGUACAGAAAAGGGACUAAAAGCAGAAAUCAGAAGAAAACAUGGGAUUUGUAGAGGAUACGCUUAUAAUACUUGUAACUCAGAUAUUAUUCUUUGUUGGAGGAUGGGUGUUUUUUGUGAAGCAGCUUUUCCGUGACUAUGAAGUUCACCAUACCCUGGUGCAGCUUAUAUUUUCUGUUACGUUCUCCUUGUCAUGCACAAUGUUUGAGCUGAUAAUUUUUGAAAUUCUUGGUAUUCUGGACUCAAGCUCAAGAUACUUCCACUGGAAUGUUGGAUUGUAUCUGAUGUUGUUCAUGGUGAUAGUACUUAUACCAUUUUAUAUUGGCUACUUCAUUCUGAGUAAUAUUCGCUUUGUGAGACGACAACUUAUUCGACCACUUACUGUGCUGAUCUGGUUGGUUUACAUCUAUUUCUUCUGGAAGAUUGGGGAUCCAUUUCCAAUACUGAGUCCCAAACAAGGCAUACUGUCCAUUGAGCAGGGGAUCAGCAGAAUAGGAGUUAUUGGAGUCACUGUGAUGGCUCUUCUAUCAGGAUUUGGUGCUGUUAAUUACCCUUACACAUCAAUGGCUUGCUUCAUCAGGCCAGUUGAUCCAAAGAAUGUCCAGGCUGUGGAGAAACGACUGAUGCAAACAAUGGAUAUGAUACUAGUCAAGAAGAAGAGAAUAGCUCUUGUUAAGAGGGGUACACUAGCAAGUAGUGCAAGAAUGGGAUCAGGAAACACCAGCAUCUGGAGUAUGUUUAGGACUGUAACUAAGACCAUCAGCAGUAAUAGUACAGAAAAUGUGUCUCAGCUGAAACAAGAAAUAGCUGGACUGGAGGAAUUGAGCAGGCAGCUUUUUCUGGAAGCACAUGACCUGCAUAACAUGCAGGAACGAGCUGAGUGGUCCAAUACAUGGAAGGGGAAGUAUUUCAACUUCCUAGGGUACUUCUUCUCACUUUACUGUAUGUGGAAGAUAUUUAUAUCAACUAUCAACAUAGUUUUUGACAGAGUUGGAAAGAAAGAUCCAGUAACCAGAGGCAUUGAAAUUGCAGUACAUUGGGUCGGCAUUAAUAUUGAUGUGACUUUCUGGUCACAACAUAUUUCAUUCUUUCUUGUUGGCUGCAUUGUGGUCACUUCUAUUAGAGGUCUUCUUCUGACACUUACAAAGUUCUUUUAUGCUAUAUCCAGCAGCAAGUCCUCGAACAUAAUUGUUCUCAUUCUAGCUCAGAUAAUGGGCAUGUACUUUGUGUCAUCUGUGUUGCUGAUGCGGAUGAACAUGCCACCAGAGUACCGAAUCAUCAUUACACAAGUCCUGGGUGAACUACAGUUUAAUUUCUACCACCGAUGGUUUGAUGUCAUUUUUCUUGUUAGUGCUCUCUCAUCAAUUGGCUUCUUGUACCUUGCUCAUAAGCAAGCUGUGGGUGAUGGUGGCUAAAAGCUGCCAGCAUACGGCAGCAAUCGGAGCAUAAUGUGUCAGUCAAGAUAUUAAUAUCUCUAAGGAUGCUGUUUUAUUGAGCUGCUGCCUGCGGAGGACCUCAGCCAGAGCCUGCGUAUUGACACAACCACGGAUCCAUACCUGCCGGGGAGGGUUGUCAACACCUGAGUUGGAAUAAGACCAGGUGUUGUCUUCAUUUAUUGCUUGAAAGUCUUGACCAUUUCUUCAGACUCUUCUUUCGUAGAAGUCAGUAUGAUGGUAUGUUGGCAGUAUAUGAGCAAUUUGGCAGAACAUCACUAAUAAGGAAUCACAUUAUGCCUCUGAUGGACCACAUAAUAAUAAUGAAUUUGAUCCUGUAGACAUCAGAUUGCUGGUUAGUGGGUGAAUUUAUGGGAUGGGCCACCUGGUUGUGUCCUAUAGUGGGCACUCUGACACUUGAGGUGAUCAGUGUUA
Molecule: unclassified non-coding RNA, 2123 nt
Filed under: Schistocerca americana (American grasshopper)
Lineage: Eukaryota; Metazoa; Arthropoda; Insecta; Orthoptera; Acrididae
Description: golgi pH regulator A, transcript variant X2
Source: RNAcentral